RNAcentral lists this transfer RNA (84 nucleotides) under Microcaldota archaeon. RNAcentral describes it as "tRNA-Leu". It matches the Rfam family "tRNA". Rfam says of the family: Transfer RNA (tRNA) molecules are approximately 80 nucleotides in length. Their secondary structure includes four short double-helical elements and three loops (D, anti-codon, and T loops). The record is from RNAcentral. Lineage: Archaea; Nanobdellati; Microcaldota. RNAcentral also lists the same sequence under 1 other name.
GCAGGAGUUCCGGAGCGGUCAAACGGACAGGACUUAAGAUCCUGCGGCUUAGUGCCUUCGGCGGUUCGAAUCCGCCCUCCUGCA